Molecule: long non-coding RNA, 1098 nt
Filed under: Daphnia pulex (common water flea)
Lineage: Eukaryota; Metazoa; Arthropoda; Branchiopoda; Diplostraca; Daphniidae
Description: uncharacterized LOC124189999, transcript variant X1
Source: RNAcentral
CGAACACUCCAGAACACUUCCAGGCUGAAAAGGCAAUAGACCCAUUGAAGACCCUCUCCAGUGUGUCUGGUAGGCCUACUCCUAAGAAAAUGAAGCAGACUUUGUCGUUGGGAUGACUACGUUGUUUUACCACCAUCCAGUGGAAGCUGGUUUGUUUCUGACGAAGCACGUGAGAUAGUCCUUGUUUUCUUAGAACAGUACCUCUCGGUGUAUGAUUCAGAUGAUCGCCAACCACUUUUAAAUGCAUACCAUGACUCGGCUAUUAUGUCAUUGAAAUGUUCUCCGAAAGAAAAUGAUCAGUCAAUGUAUUUAUUAGAACUGUUGUCAAUUUGAAAGGCAUUUAUAGUUAAUUUUACCUUUCGCUUAAAACGUUGGACUCUUACAUGAAAGACAGUCGCAAUCUGAAACGAAUUGAUGAUCCGCAUAAACGUCGUUUUCGAUUACUUCAACAAGGCAAAGUCGAUAUAGUUUCGUUUUUAUCAAAAUUACCAAAGACUUUGCAUGAUCCAAGCAGUUUUGUAGUGGACGUUCCUGUUACAUCGAGUCACCUGAUUGUCAUGUCUGUGACGGGUGUUUUUCGGGAACGAGCGGAAAGGCAUUCUCUGAUACGUUGGUUUCAACGGACAUUCAUCAUCAUUCCUAGCACUGAAGGGGGUUUUUGCAUCGUUAAUUAGCAAUUUCAUAUUUCGUGUGCUACUCCCGAGCAAAUUAUAGCGGCUUUCAAAGAACCAGUCGCUGUUCCUGCAGGACCUCCCACUACAACGUCAUCUGUUCCCGUUUGUGAAACUACAGAAAGUUCUACUCUUGUUGAUCCAGUCGUUCAGCAGCAAAUGGUGGCAUCGUUUGCUGAACAAUCUGCAAUGAAUACGUCUUGGUCAUUGAAGUUUUUAGAAGAAAACGGUUGGGUUUUCGAUCGUGCUGCCCUUGUUUUCACCGAGCUCAAAGCCGCCAACCAGAUCCCGCCACAAGCGUUCAUCAAAUAGUACGGGGAUUGGGAUGUCGGUGAUAUUGUCUUGGAUAUUCUUACGAAUUGUUGGCAUUCAAUAAAAAAUGUUUGCAGUUCAAUGAUACAAACUUGAUUGGAAAUUCGUCAUCUUA